RNAcentral lists this ribosomal RNA (253 nucleotides) under uncultured bacterium. RNAcentral's name for it is "partial 16S ribosomal RNA". It matches the Rfam family "Bacterial small subunit ribosomal RNA", at positions 524 to 776 of the family's 1533-position model. The record is from RNAcentral.
UACGUAGGGUGCGAGCGUUAAUCGGAAUUACUGGGCGUAAAGCGUGCGCAGGCGGUUUUGUAAGCCAGAUGUGAAAUCCCCGGGCUCAACCUGGGAAUGGCAUUUGGGACUGCAAGGCUGGAGUGUGGCAGAGGAGACUGGAAUUCCUGGUGUAGCAGUGAAAUGCGUAGAUAUCAGGAGGAAUACCGAUGGCGAAGGCAGGUCGCUGGGACGGUACUGACGCUGAGACGCGAAAGCGUGGGGAGCAAACAGG